RNAcentral lists this long non-coding RNA (301 nucleotides) under Phoenix dactylifera (date palm). RNAcentral describes it as "long non-coding RNA (PDAC_LNC022985)". The record is from RNAcentral. Lineage: Eukaryota; Viridiplantae; Streptophyta; Magnoliopsida; Arecales; Arecaceae.
GCGUAUCAAGGCUGUGCCGGAUUGACAGGUGAGUGGGAGUCAUGUACUUUGCACCAUGAGCAUCCUUAAUUCAUUUUCAUGAAUGUUACCAAGUGUGAAUUGAUUCCACUUGAGCAUAUUGAUUGAUAUUGUAGUAGAUUCCUCUAUAAUCUUGAUUCUCCAUGCUUGAUUAUUCUGUACAUGCAUUUGAGGGAACAUUGAGAGGAAUUACGAGGGGUUGAUGAGUAAUCAAAUUGAUUCCGAAUUGUGAAAUGAUUUCUUUUGUAAAUUGAUUUCAUUUGCUCUAUUUUAAAGAUUUGUA